GAUCAUGGCUCAGGAUGAACGCUGGCGGCGUGCUUAACACAUGCAAGUCGAACGGGAAACCUUUUAUUGAAGCUUCGGCAGAUUUAGCUGGUUUCUAGUGGCGGACGGGUGAGUAACGCGUGGGUAACCUGCCUUAUACGAGGGGGAUAACAACCAGAAAUGGUUGCUAAUACCGCAUAAGCGCACAGGACCGCAUGGUCCAGUGUGAAAAACUCCGGUGGUAUAAGAUGGACCCGCGUUGGAUUAGCUUAGG
Molecule: ribosomal RNA, 253 nt
Filed under: uncultured bacterium
Lineage: Bacteria
Description: partial 16S ribosomal RNA
Rfam family: Bacterial small subunit ribosomal RNA
Source: RNAcentral